Long non-coding RNA from Mus musculus (house mouse), 1889 nucleotides. RefSeq annotates it as predicted gene, 36735. The transcript has 3 exons. Lineage: Eukaryota; Metazoa; Chordata; Mammalia; Rodentia; Muridae. The record is from RefSeq and is a predicted model, not a curated record.
GAGCACCAGGCACCGCACAGGGAGCACCAGGCACUGCAGAGGGAGCAUCAAGUACCACAGAGGGAGCACCAGGUUGGCACCCUUGUAACCUGCUUUACUUUUCUCACUGUGUGUGACCUUCAGCAGUCACUCCAUGUCCUCACAUGACCCUGACCAACAAGAAAUGAGUCAGAGUGAUUUGAGGUGAUGCAGCGGGCCUCCCAAACAAUAUAGGCAAUACAUUCCAGAAUACUCCCCAAACUUGCAGUGGAUGUCUGGAGCCAUGGGCAGUAUCUGCCUUAAUUACUGCCUCCUCACCUUAGCUACAGGAUUGGCACGAUAGCUAUAACUUUUGGAGUUUGCAUUGUCUCAGCAGAGAUGACCCAUAUAUCUUUUUCUGUUCUUAGACUUCCAAGGCUGGAAGCUUAGUUUGUCUUUAAGUCUUAACGGUCUUGGUGUGUGUGACAUUUUUCUUCAUUAAGCAUUAUGCUUUAUGACUCUUCUGUCACAUCUGAAUAGCCAGUUCACUUGUUCUUUGGGGAGACUGGUAACUAUAGCAAGAACCUCUUAGUGACAAACACUGCCAUACUGUGACAGACAGCCUAAUCUCCAAGAUGAUUCCAAGAGACUAUCGGGAGGGUAGUGCAUACACUGGACAGGGGCAAGUCACAUCCUGACCAGGACAGGGUAAUAUAUUACAAGAUCUCAUCCCUCUACCCAAAUGGCAUGUAAUUUAAAGCUCAAAAGCAAUCAAUUGUAGUCCUCCAUUUAAUAUUAUCAGGCCCCAGUUGCCCAUAGGUGGCUGAAACUCUGAACAUGAAGCCACCAGUAAAGGAAAGACUGCUUAGAGUGGUGUCAAGACUCAGGACAAGUCACAUCAGUGACAAUUCGAGUCCAAGUCAAAAUAAGCAAAGGGCAGGACUAGAUUAGGGACAGGACCACCUGAAGGUCUGGGAGUUCUGCUUUGUCCAUCUGCUUUUCUAGAUCAGGAGAGUGGGGAGCCUACAGGAGAUAUGUUCAGCCAAGUGGCACUUCUCAGAGAGUGGUAGGCAAGCAAAGAGGCUGACACACUGGGCUGCCGUCCACUCACAAAGGACAGCCCUUCCUCUAGAAAGGAAUCAAAUUCACCAAGGUGAUUUAAGGUGGAUGCAGCUUCUCAGUCGUCCAACCUGGAACUGCAAACAUCCACCAUGGUCCUUGUCUUCUGACAGGUUCAAGUCUGUCUCUCCUCUUCUCCCACCUGAGCCAGAGAGGCAUGCACCAGGAAAAAAAAAUCAGGAAGGCACCUAGGGGCCUCUGAAUGGAUGCCUGUCACUGCUCAGUACCCAGCAUUCUCUUGGUCAGGAAUGAAGCAUGGGGCCUGAACUCAGGAUCUGGAGUUUUCUUGCAAGGGUGGCAUUCCAUGUGCUCUGCAGUUGCUGAUGAUCAGUCAGCUCAUCCAUGACCCGGGAGCUGAGCUGAAGGACACAGAGGAUCAUGAGACUGCACAAGAACCAGGACAGUGUAGAGUGGCCAUGCCCACAGGUGACACUGAGAUGUGACAGGACUGUCCCCCACACCAAACUGCCUCUAUCUUCAGGAAUCCAGCUGGACCCUCUUGGCAUUGACCUUCCCUCUUGGAAAGAAAGAGUGAGGAGGCUCACGGGACCCUCACCUGAGUAUCCAACUACUUUACCAGCCAGUAGCAUGUGAUUCUGCUCUAAUUGAACAUAACCUUGGAGUCUCUGGGAGAUGCUAGAGGAUCUGGGUGGGGAAGACUAAGGGAGUGGGUACCAUCCGCACACCCACAGGGAGCCAUCCUCUGUAUUGGCUGUGGACAGUCUAUGUUUAAGGUUACUCAUGCUCUUUGCCUGUAACCCCUCACUGGUUGCUCUGUAAGCCUAAUAAACGCCUUGGUUUCUCAGAGUGAA